RNAcentral lists this ribosomal RNA (253 nucleotides) under uncultured bacterium. Its description in RNAcentral is "partial 16S ribosomal RNA". It matches the Rfam family "Bacterial small subunit ribosomal RNA", at positions 524 to 776 of the family's 1533-position model. The record is from RNAcentral.
UACGUAGGGUGCAAGCGUUGUCCGGAAUUAUUGGGCGUAAAGAGCUCGUAGGCGGUCUGUUGCGUCCGCUGUGAAAACUCGGGGCUUAACCCCGAGCCUGCAGUGGAUACGGGCAGACUAGAGUUCGGUAGGGGAGAUCGGAAUUCCUGGUGUAGCGGUGAAAUGCGCAGAUAUCAGGAGGAACACCGGUGGCGAAGGCGGAUCUCUGGGCCGAUACUGACGCUGAGGAGCGAAAGCGUGGGGAGCGAACAGG